This 96-nucleotide transfer RNA is filed under the name Planctomycetota bacterium. RNAcentral describes it as "tRNA-Sec". It matches the Rfam family "Selenocysteine transfer RNA". Lineage: Bacteria; Pseudomonadati; Planctomycetota. The record is from RNAcentral.
GGAGGUGAAUAGUAGCCUGGUGGCGCUCGCGGCCUUCAAAGCCGUUGUGGGUUCGACAAGAGCCCAGGUGGGUUCGAUUCCCAUGCACCUCCGCCA